GGGGAGCUCAUUUCAUAGCCGGAUGGUU
RNAcentral lists this small RNA (28 nucleotides) under Bombyx mori (domestic silkworm). Its description in RNAcentral is "ovarian small RNA-17524". The record is from RNAcentral. Lineage: Eukaryota; Metazoa; Arthropoda; Insecta; Lepidoptera; Bombycidae.